Vicia faba (fava bean) is the source of this 252-nucleotide non-coding RNA. NCBI's taxonomy places the organism in Eukaryota, Viridiplantae, Streptophyta, Magnoliopsida, Fabales, Fabaceae. The record is from the annotation of a GenBank genome assembly.
AUGCAAUAUCACAAAAUCAUAGCUCUAACAGAAGCAACACAAACAUAUAAGAAACAUGAAAAAUGUAUUCAAAAGGGAAUAAAACUUGCUGCAGAAAUGCGAAAAUCAGAGGAUCUAAAAGAAGGAAACCCUAACAACUCCUCACACAAAACACAUCCAAGAAAAUUCGAACCCAAAAAAUCCAAACAGUGGUCUUUGGAAAACCAAAAGAAAUCGAAAACAAAAGAGAGAAAAAAGGAGAAGCCAUUGUAA